CGGCGUGGUCAUCGUGGGAAGACCACGAUGACCCAACUGAAGUCGGCACUCCUUGCCGACUUCAGUUCGGAUCUUCACAUUAGCUAAUCUAAGAAUUCAACCGAGACAUGGUUACAUUGGACUUGGAUUAGCUUGUCUAUAUAAUAUUGUAAAAAGCUCACGUUCAAACCGGAUAUUGGGCCACCAUAGGUAUUGAGAGUGCCACGAGAGGGUUGGACCUUAUCCAAAAAGGCUUGCCAAAAAGUAAUUAUUUGGUUAAAUAGUCUUGUAUAAGUAUUCAAGAUCUCCUCAGUAAAUAAUCGAUAUGCAACUAAACACCCGCUCGCCACAAGGAUUGUCACACACUCCUUUCGUUUAAGCGUCGGCGUCCUCAUCUGGCUAAGGGUUAAAUUUCAUUCAAAUUUAAUCACAAGUACCACGAUCGGCCUAUAGUCAGUCUUAAUGAGCUCGUGUUGCAGGACCCCUAGUCUACAUAGGUCAUUGGCCGAGUUUACUUUGAUACUAUUUGUCACAAUGCAGGAUCUUAUCCAAAAAGGCUAGCUAAAAGAUAUUUUUUAAUUUUCUAAGUCCAAUAUAAAUACUCAUGAUCUCCUUAACAAAUUAUCGAUGCGGAACUAAACGCACGCCCGCAUGGAUCUUCACAUUAUUAAAAAAGAAAAGAAAAAUUCAGCUAUCUGUGAACACGAAAAUUAAUAAAAUUCAGCUUAAAGAGACAACCGCUCCAAAAGAGUUGGAAUGCAAUAAUAAAGCUAGAAGAGAGUGCUCUCUCUUUGCCUUCCCCACCACCCGCUCUUGCUCUUUCCAAAACUAAAGCAGCAACCCACAAGAGUGCCUUUCAGGGUUUCGGAAGAAUGUGCAUGGAUCUCUGUCACUUGGAAAUGCACAUUGGCUCUCUUUAACACAUCCAUCAACUCCGAUCAAGCGGAGACGACCUUUUGUUUCCUAUAAAAUUUGCGAAAGUAUAAGUUCUCCAUGCCUCCUUUUCCCUCAACAACCAUGCUUUCCAUAGGUAGGUUUGUAACAUACAAGACUAACAAAUCUUUGAUCCAUCCAUUAAUUAAUGAGGGGCAGAGGGUCUGCAUCCCAACACCUAAGAAAUCCCUGGUCUCUCCUCCAUCCAGAUCAUCCAUUAGAGAGCUGCGGUUUCAUUCGGCGAACUUAUGGUUCGAUGCUGUGAAACCAUUUACGAUGUUUCCUAGAUUGCUCAGUUGGUUUGAAUUGAAUAGUCCAUCAUAUUUGCUAGCAUCUCCAAUCUGAGUAUCUUGGCACUUUAAUGGCCCAGAACUCCCUAUAAAUGGAAAGGUGGAUGUACGGAUCUGUGCGGGCGUGUGUUUAGUUCCACAUCGGUUAUUCGUUGGGUAUAUUUUGGGUACUUAUACAGGAUUAAAGAAACCAAAUAAUACCUUCCAGCUAGUCAUUUUGGGUGAAGUCUUGGGUUGUGACAAAUGGUAUUAGAGUGGACCUGGUCCAUAACCUAUGUGAGUUAUGGGACACUGCAGCAUGGAUCCAUUGG
This 1513-nucleotide long non-coding RNA is filed under the name Phoenix dactylifera (date palm). RNAcentral describes it as "long non-coding RNA (PDAC_LNC014353)". Lineage: Eukaryota; Viridiplantae; Streptophyta; Magnoliopsida; Arecales; Arecaceae. The record is from RNAcentral.